RNAcentral lists this long non-coding RNA (1371 nucleotides) under Equus caballus (horse). RNAcentral's name for it is "lncRNA (ENSECAG00000044193.1)". The record is from RNAcentral. Lineage: Eukaryota; Metazoa; Chordata; Mammalia; Perissodactyla; Equidae.
UCUUCUCAUGUGCUUGUUGGCCAUUCAUACAUCCUCUUUGGUGAAAUAUCUAUUCAAAUUCAUUGCCCAUUUUAAAGUUUAUUUAUCUUUUUAUUGAAUUGUGAGAGUUCUUUACAUAUCCUAGAUACAAGUCCUUUAGUAGAUAUGUGAUAUUUGCAAAUGUUUUCUUUCAGUUUGACUUAUCAUUUUUUUUAGUUAAUUUAUCAUAAAUGUAAGCGUUUAUUUCUGGGUAAAUAAAGGGUUAUAAGGGUUUAUUUCUGGGUUAGUACAGAGUUCUCCUUUUUCAGUGUUCUCCUUUUUCAGAAUCGUUUUGCCUAUUUUGGGUCCUUUGCAUUUUCUUAUAAAUUUUAGGGUCAGCUUGUCAAUUUCUGCAAAAAACACCUCCUGGGAGUUUGUUAGGGAUCGAAUUGAAUAUAUAGAUCAAUUUGGAGAGAACUGCUCCUUUAACAUUCUGGAGUCUUCCAAUCCACGAAGAUAAACUCUCUCUCCAUAUAUUUACACCUUUUAAAAUUGCUUUCAGCAAUAUUUUGUAGACCUCCUUGUACAAGUCUUGCACUAUUUUUAUUCCUCAAUAUUUACUUCUCUUUGAUGUGAUUGUAUGCAAUGUUAUUUUAUUUAUUUAUUUUUUACUAGGGUAUAAUUGACAUAUAACGUUACCUUAGUUUCAGGUGUGCAACAUAAUAAUUUGAUAUUUGCGUAUAUUGUAAAACGUUCACCAUGACAAGUCUAGCUAACAUUUGUCACCAAAGAGCACUCUGAUCAUGUUGGACCACAGAGAAGACUGAGGGAAGGGACAAUACCUAAUUCAUCUCCCUUUUCCCAGGACCGAGCAGAGAGCCAGGCACAGACUAGAUGCUCCGUGUGGUAGCCACUAGUGCUGGCCACCAAAUAUUUCUUUCUUCUCCUGUUGCACUUCCUUGCUCCUUCAAGUUAGUUGUGGCCAAGUGACUUGCUUUCAUCAACAAAAUGUGAAUGGAUGUGAUAUGCGUCACUCCUGAGCAGAAACUUUAAAAGUCAGUGAGCAACUUAACCAUACUCUUAAUCUUGGAGGAGGUGGCUGGCUGCACCAUCACACUGGACCCUGCAGUGAGAAUGACAAGGACAUGCCACUCUAUAGCCAAUUGACAUGUAGAGUGAGCAAGAACUACAGGCUGAUUUAAGCUGCUUAGAUAUUGGCAUCGUUUGUUACUGCAGCAUAACCUAACUCAUCCUGACUAUUAUGUGGAUAAAUGUUUGGUGAAAAAAAUGAAUGGAACUAAAGAGCAGAACAUUAAAUUCUCUGUCUUUUCUGAUUAAAACUAUGAAAAACAAUGUCGGAAUAUGGGCUGUAAACUUAAGGAAAUGAGGAAAUUAAAGCCAGCUAGAUUGUUA